Molecule: ribosomal RNA, 496 nt
Filed under: uncultured bacterium
Lineage: Bacteria
Description: partial 16S ribosomal RNA
Rfam family: Bacterial small subunit ribosomal RNA
Source: RNAcentral
GAUGAACGCUGGCGGCGUGCCUAAUACAUGCAAGUCGAGCGAACAGACGAGGAGCUUGCUCCUUCGACGUUAGCGGCGGACGGGUGAGUAACACGUAGGUAACCUACCUAUAAGACUGGGAUAACUUCGGGAAACCGGAGCUAAUACCGGAUAAUAUUUCGAACCGCAUGGUUCGAUAGUGAAAGAUGGCUUUGCUAUCACUUAUAGAUGGACCUGCGCCGUAUUAGCUAGUUGGUAAGGUAACGGCUUACCAAGGCAACGAUACGUAGCCGACCUGAGAGGGGGUCGGGCCACCUUGGACCUGGACACCGGCCCAGCUCCCUAGGGGAGGCAGCGGGAGGGAAUCUUCCGCAAUGGGCGAAAGCCUGACGGAGCAACGCCGGGUGGGUGAUGAAGGGCUUCGGAUCGUAAACCUCUUUUUUUGGGGAAAAAAAAACUUGUAAGUAACGGGGCCCGUUUGAAGGGUACCGAAUCAGAAACCCCGGCUAAAUUCGUG